RNAcentral lists this ribosomal RNA (254 nucleotides) under uncultured bacterium. Its description in RNAcentral is "partial 16S ribosomal RNA". It matches the Rfam family "Bacterial small subunit ribosomal RNA", at positions 524 to 776 of the family's 1533-position model. The record is from RNAcentral.
UACGUAGGGUGCAAGCGUUGUCCGGAAUUAUUGGGCGUAAAGAGCUCGUAAGCGGUUUGUUGCGUCGGCUGUGAAAUCCCGAGGCUCAACCUCGGGUCUGCAGUCGAUACGAGCAAACUAGAGUGUUGCAGGGGAGACUGGAAUUCCUGGUGUAGCGGUGAAAUGCGCAGAUAUCAGGAGGAACACCGGUGGCGAAGGCGGGUCUCUGGGCCGUAACUGACGCUGAGGAGCGAAAGCAUGGGGGAGCGAACAGG